AGAGUGAACGCUGGCGGUAGGCCUAACACAUGCAAGUCGAACGGCAGCACAGGAGAGCUUGCUCUCUGGGUGGCGAGUGGCGGACGGGUGAGGAAUACAUCGGAAUCUACCUUUUCGUGGGGGAUAACGUAGGGAAACUUACGCUAAUACCGCAUAAGACCUUCGGGUGAAAGCCGGGGACCUUCGGGCCUGGCGCGGAUAGAUGAGCCGAUGUCGGAUUAGCUUGUUGGCGGGGUAAAAGCCCACCAAGGCGACGAUCCGUAGCUGGUCUGAGAGGAUGAUCAGCCACACUGGAACUGAGACACGGUCCAGACUCCUACGGGAGGCAGCAGUGGGAAUAUUGGACAAUGGGCGCAAGCCUGAUCCAGCCAUACCGCGUGGGUGAAGAAGGCCUCGGUUGUAAAGUCCUUUUGUUAGGAAAGAAAUCCGUGCCGGUUAAACUAACCGAAGUAAGGGAUGGAACGGUAACCCGAAAGAAAUAAGACAACCGGCUAAACUCCGUAGCCAGACCAG
Molecule: ribosomal RNA, 513 nt
Filed under: uncultured soil bacterium
Lineage: Bacteria
Description: bacterial SSU rRNA
Rfam family: Bacterial small subunit ribosomal RNA
Source: RNAcentral